RNAcentral lists this non-coding RNA (319 nucleotides) under Paenibacillus sp. RNAcentral's name for it is "T-box sequence". It matches the Rfam family "T-box leader". From Rfam's summary of the family: Uncharged tRNA acts as the effector for transcription antitermination of genes in the T-box leader family. The record is from RNAcentral. Lineage: Bacteria; Bacillati; Bacillota; Bacilli; Caryophanales; Paenibacillaceae.
AUCAAGGCAUUGAAGGGCACAAGUAGACAGCGAAUCGUAAUUGCAGAGAGCCGGUGGGUGGUGAAAACCGGUAUGCGCCGCUUGUUGAAUUACCGCCUGGAGCUAAGUGAAGGAACCGUAUUGCUUUCGAUCAGCGACAGCCAAUGCUAAGCCAUGGGGCCAAGUGGUGCUGCACGAAGCCGUAGUAGUUCACUUCGGAGACCGUCUCCGUUAUCAACAACGAAGUGAGAGUAUCGCUAUUUUCAUUGAAAGUUUUCAUUGAAAUGCAGGCGUACUCUAACGAGGGUGGUACCGCGAGCUAAUCCUUCUCGUCCCUUGG